RNAcentral lists this unclassified non-coding RNA (352 nucleotides) under soil metagenome. RNAcentral's name for it is "partial contains 5.8S ribosomal RNA, internal transcribed spacer 2, and large subunit ribosomal RNA". The stretch from base 1 to 120 matches the Rfam family "5.8S ribosomal RNA", at positions 35 to 154 of the family's 154-position model. The record is from RNAcentral.
GAUGAAGAACGCAGCGAAAUGCGAUAAGUAAUGUGAAUUGCAGAAUUCAGUGAAUCAUCGAAUCUUAGAACGCACAUUGCGCCCGCCAGUAUUCUGGCGGGCAUGCCUGUUCGAGCGUCAUUACAACCCUCAGGCCCCCGGGCCUGGCGUUGGGGAUCGGCGGAGCCCCCCGUGGGCACACGCCGUCCCCCAAAUGCAGUGGCGGUCCCGCCGCAGCUUCCAUCGCGUAGUAGCUAACACCUCGCGACUGGAGAGCGGCGCGGCCACGCCGUAAAACACCCAACUCUUCUGAAGUUGACCUCGAAUCAGGUAGGAAUACCCGCUGAACUUAAGCAUAUCAAUAAGCGGAGGA